GUUUUAUAUUGUUUGUCUUGUCCAACAGGUAGCCUCAAAAACACAUACACGUGACAUUCUUCAAAGCAUUUAUAAAAAGGAAUGCAAGGAUGGUACUAUUAAUAAAAAAAAUUAAAAGAUUAUUUUUUCUUGAACUAUGUGGUUUCUAGCUUGGAAAUGAAUUUGUCACAAAGGGAUUACCGCUUAAGUACAGCAUGUUGCAUAGAAAAUAAGUACUAAUUUUGGUUACUUUUUCCAAUAAACCAGGAAGAAUGUCUUACUUGCAUACACAUUAGGUGAUCAUUCAAAGGAG
Molecule: long non-coding RNA, 292 nt
Filed under: Panax ginseng (ginseng)
Lineage: Eukaryota; Viridiplantae; Streptophyta; Magnoliopsida; Apiales; Araliaceae
Description: long non-coding RNA (PGIN_LNC001180)
Source: RNAcentral